CCUACGGGAGGCAGCAGUGGGGGAUAUUGGACAAUGGGGGGAACCCUGAUCCAGCGACGCCGCGUGAGUGAAGAAGUAUUUCGGUAUGUAAAGCUCUGUCAGCAGGGAAGAAAGCAAUGACGGUACCUGACCAAGAAGCCCCGGCUAACUACGUGCCAGCAGCCGCGGUAAUACGUAGGGGGCAAGCGUUAUCCGGACUUACUGGGGGUAAAGGGAGCGUAGACGGCUGUGCAAGUCUGGAGUGAAAGGCGGGGGCCCAACCCCCGGACUGCUCUGGAAACUGUAUGGCUGGAGUGCAGGAGAGGUAAGCGGAAUUCCUAGUGUAGCGGUGAAAUGCGUAGAUAUUAGGAGGAACACCAGUGGCGAAGGCGGCUUACUGGACCGUAACUGACGUUGAGGCUCGAAAGCGUGGGGAGCAAACAGGAGUAGAUACCCGAGUAGUC
This 443-nucleotide ribosomal RNA is filed under the name uncultured bacterium. Its description in RNAcentral is "partial 16S ribosomal RNA". It matches the Rfam family "Bacterial small subunit ribosomal RNA", at positions 338 to 795 of the family's 1533-position model. The record is from RNAcentral.